AAUCAACGCGUGAGGUUGAGUCAACAAUUUUGACUCCCUUGGCCAUGUUGACUAGGUCAAUGCCUUUUUUGGCCUUCACAUGGCUAUGAGUCAAUUAUUAUUCAUGCUUCAUUUGUAUCUAUUUGCUCCUUUUUUUUGCAUUAGCUUUUUCUUGUUUAUUUUAGUGGGCCUUUAGCCCACUUUCUUUCAUUCACAUAUCACUCUUAAUUAUCA
This 213-nucleotide long non-coding RNA is filed under the name Lathyrus oleraceus (garden pea). RNAcentral's name for it is "Pisum sativum (pea) long non-coding RNA (PSAT_LNC022487)". Lineage: Eukaryota; Viridiplantae; Streptophyta; Magnoliopsida; Fabales; Fabaceae. The record is from RNAcentral.